Molecule: ribosomal RNA, 365 nt
Filed under: uncultured bacterium
Lineage: Bacteria
Description: bacterial SSU rRNA
Rfam family: Bacterial small subunit ribosomal RNA
Source: RNAcentral
AACGAACGCUGGCGGCAGGCUUAACACAUGCAAGUCGAACGGGUGUAGCAAUACAUCAGUGGCAGACGGGUGAGUAACACGUGGGAACCUUCCUAGGGGUACGGAACAACUCAGGGAAACUUGAGCUAAUACCGUAUACGUCCGUAAGGAGAAAGAUUCAUCGCCCCUAGACGGGCCCGCGUCGGAUUAGGUAGUUGGUGGGGUAACGGCCUACCAAGCCUACGAUCCGUAGCUGAUCUGAGAGGANGAUCAGCCACACUGGGACUGAGACACGGCCCAGACUCCUACGGGAGGCAGCAGUGGGGAAUAUUGGACAAUGGGCGCAAGCCUGAUCCAGCCAUGCCGCGUGAGUGAUGAAGGCCUUC